GGGAAUUCGAUUAGAGUUUGAUCAUGGCUCAGAACGUACGCUGGCGGCACGCCUAACACAUGCAAGUCGAACGAAGUAGCAAUACUUAGUGGCAGACGGGUGAGGAACAUGUGGGUAUCUGCCCUUUGGCCUGGAAUAACACGAGGAAACUUGUGCUAAUACCGGAUAAGUCUUUACGGAGAAAGCUUUAUGCACCAUUGGAUGAGCCCGCACUUGAUUAGUUUGUUGGUGGGGUAAUGGCCUACCAAGACUUUGAUCAAUAGCUGAUUUGAGAGGAUGAUCAGCCACAUUGGGACUGAGACACGGCCCAAACUCCUACGGGAGGCAGCAGUGGGGAAUCUUGCACAAUGGAGGAAACUCUGAUGCAGCGAUGCCGCGUGAGUGAAGAAGGCCUUUGGGUUGUAAAGCUCUUUCGUCGGGGAAGAAAAUGACUGUACCCGAAUAAGAAGGUCCGGCUAACUUCGUGCCAGCAGCCGCGGUAAUACGAAGGGACCUAGCGUAGUUCGGAAUUACUGGGCUUAAAGAGUUCGUAGGUGGUUGAAAAAGUUGGUGGUGAAAUCCCAGAGCUUAACUCUGGAACUGCCAUCAAAACUUUUCAGCUAGAGUUUGAUAGAGGAAAGCAGAAUUUCUAAUGUAGAGGUGAAAUUCGUAGAUAUUAGAAAGAAUACCAAUUGCGAAGGCAGCUUUCUGGAUCAUUACUGACGCUGAGGAACGAAAGCAUGGGUAGCGAAGAGGAUUAGAUACCCUCGUAGUCCAUGCCGUAAACGAUGUGUGUUAGACGUUGGAAAUUUAUUUUCAGUGUCGCAGCGAAAGCGAUAAACACACCGCCUGGGGAGUACGACCGCAAGGUUAAAACUCAAAUGAAUUGACGGGGACCCGCACAAGUAGUGGAGCAUGUGGUUUAAUUCGAAGAUACGCGCAGAACCUUACCAACACUUGACAUGUUCGUCGCGACUUUAAGAGAUUAAAGUUUUCGGUUCGGCCGGACGAAACACAGGUGCUGCAUGGCUGUCGUCAGCUCGUGUCGUGAGAUGUUGGGUUAAGUCCCGCAACGAGCGCAACCCUCACUUUUAGUUGCCAUCAUUUAGUUGGGCACUCUGAAAGAACUGCCAGUGAUAAGCUGGAGGAAGGUGGGGAUGACGUCAAGUCCUCAUGGCCCUUACGUGUUGGGCUACACACGUGCUACAAUGGUAUUUACAACAGGAAGCGAAACAGCGAUGUUAAGCAAAUCCUUAAAAAAUACCUCAGUUCGGAUUGCACUCUGCAACUCGAGUGCAUGAAGCUGGAAUUACUAGUAAUCGUGGAUCAGCGUGCCACGGUGAAUGCGUUCCC
RNAcentral lists this ribosomal RNA (1332 nucleotides) under uncultured bacterium. Its description in RNAcentral is "bacterial SSU rRNA". It matches the Rfam family "Bacterial small subunit ribosomal RNA", at positions 1 to 1375 of the family's 1533-position model. The record is from RNAcentral.